CGCGUGGGUGACGUACCUAUCGGUGGGGAAUAACUGCCCGAAAGGGUGGCUAAUACCGCAUCUGUCCACUGAUUUGGUUUCAGUGGAGAAAGCCUUGCAAGAGGCGCCGAUGGAGCGGCCCGCGUCCGAUUAGCUGGUUGGUGGGGUAACGGCCUACCAAGGCGACGAUCGGUAGCUGGUCUCAGAGGAUGAUCAGCCAGACUGGGACUGAGACACGGCCCAG
Molecule: ribosomal RNA, 223 nt
Filed under: uncultured bacterium
Lineage: Bacteria
Description: partial 16S ribosomal RNA
Rfam family: Bacterial small subunit ribosomal RNA
Source: RNAcentral